Molecule: unclassified non-coding RNA, 362 nt
Filed under: soil metagenome
Description: partial contains 5.8S ribosomal RNA, internal transcribed spacer 2, and large subunit ribosomal RNA
Rfam family: 5.8S ribosomal RNA (bases 1-120)
Source: RNAcentral
GAUGAAGAACGUAGCGAAAUGCGAUAAGUAAUGUGAAUUGCAGAAUUCAGUGAAUCAUCGAAUCUUAGAACGCACCUUGCGCUCCUUGGUAUUCCGAGGAGCAUGCCUGUUUGAGUGUCAUUAAUAUAUCAACCUUCUCUUUUUUGAGUUGUUUGGAUGUGGGGGUUUGCUGGCCUCUUAAAUGAUUCAGCUCCCCUGAAAUGCAUUAGCAGAACAACCUGUUCAUUAGCGUGAUAAUUAUCUAUGCUAUUGAAUGUGAGGGCAGUUCAGCUUUCUAACCGUCCUUGGACAAUUCAUCAUUAAUGUGACCUCAAAUCAGGUAGGACUACCCGCUGAACUUAAGCAUAUCAAUAAGCGGAGGA